RNAcentral lists this long non-coding RNA (226 nucleotides) under Capsicum annuum. RNAcentral describes it as "long non-coding RNA (CANN_LNC011813)". The record is from RNAcentral. Lineage: Eukaryota; Viridiplantae; Streptophyta; Magnoliopsida; Solanales; Solanaceae.
CCUAUACUCCGGUGCAAGUAGUAGUUUUACGAAGGAAUCUAAUUCAUGAUUUAAAGUUUAUCAUUCAAUGACAAUUACAUUUAGGAUCAAAUAGUUGAUAAAAGUUCUAAUACAUAGGUUUUAGAUCAAGUUUGUUGAAUUCAAGUAAAUUCCUAAAUUACACUAUAAAUCCCCUUCUGUUUUUAGAAAUAUUUGUGCUGCAUAAAAGCAUAAAAGUUUAUAUAUU